RNAcentral lists this ribosomal RNA (253 nucleotides) under uncultured bacterium. Its description in RNAcentral is "partial 16S ribosomal RNA". It matches the Rfam family "Bacterial small subunit ribosomal RNA", at positions 524 to 776 of the family's 1533-position model. The record is from RNAcentral.
UACGGGGGGGGCAAGCGUUGUUCGGAAUUACUGGGCGUAAAGGGCUCGUAGGCGGCCAACUAAGUCAGACGUGAAAUCCCUCGGCUUAACCGGGGAACUGCGUCUGAUACUGGAUGGCUUGAGUUUGGGAGAGGGAUGCGGAAUUCCAGGUGUAGCGGUGAAAUGCGUAGAUAUCUGGAGGAACACCGGUGGCGAAGGCGGCAUCCUGGACCGGUAUUGACACUGAGGCGCGAAAGCCAGGGGAGCAAACGGG